UGACAUCCCUGGUCUAUACAGUGCACCUUACAUAUUGGGGCCAAUACCAAAAAAUACAAAAAGACAACCCUUUACAGUGUGGCAUCAAUUUCAUUCUGGGGGUAUAAAAAGCUGGUAUUGUCAGUAAGUUGUUCCCAGUUCAUCAUUCAAGCAGCCAUGAACAGACGACGUGACAUAACGGACGAGCAGUGCCACCUGGCCAUUGCCAGACAAGACCUGGCCACUGCCUGCUACCGACCAUUCAGGUUGGUAACAGGCAGUCAGAUGUUGCUCGUGAAUUUGGUGUGUCUCAAAGUGUCAUCAGCAGACUUGCAGCAAGACACAGAACUACUGGCAGUGUUGAUGACAGACCCAGGAGUGGAGCCCCACAAGUGACGGACCGCAGUAAUGACCAGUACCUAAGGACCUAUGCCCUCAGACACCGUUAUGCAACGGCCAUACAGCUGCAGUGGGCACAAGACCAUGUGACCUGGACAAUGCAGCAGUAGUCUACCGUCCUGUUCACUGAUGGGCGUCAGGUCACCUUGCACAGCGUUGCUGGAAUCAGCGUUGCUGGAGAAGGCAAGGGACAGUUUUCGUCCGAGGGAAAAGAGAAAUUUCUUAACAUGGAGGAAGAGGAGUGGAACAGACACCAACAUGAACACAAGAAGUACAUGGAUGUUGGACACCUCGAGUCUUCUGCUACUGCUGUUAGUGCAUAUGGUUUCUUAUCUGUACAGUCUUAGGCAACAAUAAAGUUAAUCUUUACUAUUAAAGGAGAUUAGGUUAAAGCUCGAUGAUUACUUUGGGCUACAGCACAGAAAAGACUGACAAAGUAUCGCAGCAUUUCUAUGUUAUUUUUUAACUCCACUGAGUCGUUACAUACAGUACAGUCCUAAUGCUUGAUUAGCUGUCAUGCUUUCUUGCAGAAGAAAGAAUGAGCUGCCUGUUUGCAAAGUUUAAAGAAUGCAGUAUGAGCUGGACCCCGAAACACACACACACACACACACACACACACACACGUCCCAGACCCAGGCCAGCAAAACGUUUCAGUAUAAACUUGCAUCACAAUAGUUUUAAUAAUUUUUUAUCAGCUGUGAAGAGUUGGUGACUCAGUACCUCAGGGGUUAAAACAUCUCCGAUGAACCACAACACCCCUGGUUUCCUUUCAGCACUGACCUUUAUUGCAUGUCAUUUCGCAUCCCUUUCUGCUCAUUUCCUCUCAUCUCUGUCUAAUAAAGGUAUGCAAUGCCUCAGAAAUACCUUUAAAAAACUCAGUGAACAAUGAUACACAGAUCAUGAAGCAUCAUGCAACUAGGGACAAACGUAAACUUCUUGUCAUCCACUAAUCAUUAGUCAAACAUCUGCAUAAAAUUCUUCAUCCUCCUCUAAAGAAGAGUCAUUACAGUGUGCAGGUUGAAGACCUCUGGUUGGAGUGUUGAACUGUUUCAAUGACCAGCUUUGCAGAAUCACAGUUACAGUACCGUACAAAAGUAUUUGCCCCCUACAAAAAUCUUCUAUUUUUGCAUAUUUGUCACACUUUCAUGUUUCAGAUCAUCAAACUAAUUUGAACACGUCAAAGAUAACCCAAGAAAACACAGAAUGCAGUUUAAAUGAUAUCUUUAAUUGAAGGAAAACACUGUCCAGCCCAUAUUGCCCUAUGUGAGAAGGUAAUUGCCCCUCAGCUACCAAUCUACCAAAUGACCAAACUCAGUUGGGUUCAGUUUCACCAUCCGCACUCACACAUGAUUGCUGCCAGGCUUGUUGAAUCUAAACAUCACUAAACAUCACUGCCAUUGUGAAGUAGCCAAAUCCUCAGAAACACAGCACAUGAUGCCACGUUCUAAAGAGAUUUAAGAACAGAUGAGACACAAAAUCAUUGACAUUUCUCAGUCUGGAGGGUUCCAAAGUCAUUGCUAAGGCUCUGGAACUCCAGAGAACCACAGUCAGAGGCAUUAUUGACAUGGUUCAUCUGCUAUUUACCAAAAAUAUCUGGAUGAGCUCCAAGAUCAAUGGGAUAACAUCCUGUGGGCUGAUGAGGUAAAGGUGGAACUUUUUAGAAGACAUGGGUUCAUUACAUCUGGUAUAAAGCUAAUACCACAUUCCACAAGAAAAACAUGAUACCAGCAGUGAAACAUGGUGGUGGUAGUGUGGUAGUUUGAACAUGAUUUUUCAUAACUGAUGGAGCCAUGAAUUCUGCUCUCUGUCAGAAAAUCUUGGAGAACCAAACAAUGACAGUACAAGCUAAACACUCAAAAUAUGUACACAAAGACUAAAGCCGUGUGUCUACUAGAUGUGAUUUUCCCGCACAGCAACGCACCGCAUCUGAAAAGCGCACUGCCGGCGGGCAGUCACUAGCGGACAUUGUCACGUGACCAAGCUUUCAACUUGACAGCCCAGCAGAUGAGUCGGAUGGGAAGAUGGCGCCACAUGAGUGGCAGCCAGUUGCAGCAGCUCCGACCCUUUUCUUUGUUUAUAGCAAAUUUUUUGCACUUUUAGCUUUCCUUCACUGUUUUCUUUUCUACAGUCAUCGCUCCGGCACAUGUCCAUUCCUUGGUGUUAAGCUGGUGAGACUGCUGCUGUUUUUUUUUUUUACUGUUUUCUGGACUCUUAAAUACAGGACAGCCCAGCUGUUGUUUACACCCAGGAGCAGCUGUUAGCGCUUAGCCAAGCUAGGCUACAUCCCGAAGCGCGACCUGAGAUCCCCGCCGAACUACAGAGGAGAAGGAGGGGAUGCAGAGCCGGAGUAAAAUGCCGCGAAAGGAGACGACGUACAAGCCAUGCCUUUCAUCUGUUAUCAUGGGAAAUGUGAGGUCUCUCCUUAAUAAAAUGGAUGAGCUAGCAUCGCGAACACGGCUACAGCGGGAGUACCAAGAGUGCAGUCUGCUUCCCCUCAUGGAGACCUAGCUGAACGAGCUGACCCCGGACUCAAUGGUGCAGCUCGACGGGUUUCACUCAUCAGAGCGGACAGAGACAUGAGGGCGAGUGGUAAGAAGAAGGGUGGAGGAAUAGCGAUGUUUGUGAACAACAAGUGGUGUAACCCUGGGAACAUUUAUAUUAAGGAGCAACGGUGUACCAGGGAAAUUGAGCUGCUAGCUGUUAGCAUCCGGCUGUACUACCUGCCGAGGUAGCAUUAUUGCAGUAACGGUGUACAUCCCUCCCUCGGCCAAUGCCGACUCAGCCUGCAAGCUCCUCCACAGUGUGGUUUCACAGUUACAUACAGCACAUCCUCAAGCGUUCUUCCUCAUCACCGGGGAUUUCAACCACUCUUCCCACCUUCCAUCAGUUUGUGGACUGCCCCACCAGGGACAACAAAACUCUGGAUCUGCUCUAUACAAACACAGCUGAUGCCUACAGUUGCUCCCCCCUCCCCCCCCUGCUUAGCCGCUGAGACCACAACCUGGUCCAUCUGCUCCCUGCUUACACACCUUUGGUGAAGAAUCAACCCCCAACCAAAAAGUAUGUGAAGCAGUGAUCUGAGGAGGCCAGCAAGGCACUCCAAGACUGUUUAACCACCACAGACUGCUGGGUCACAUGGACAGGACAUUGACAGUUUAACAGACUGCAUCACAGGAUACAUAAACUUCUGCGUAGAAACCACCGUACCCACUCGGAGGGUACGGUGUUUCUCAAACAAUAAGCCAUGGGUGACUCCUGAGCUGAGAGCCUUGAUGCUCCUCCAGCUCCUCCUUCCUGCUAGCCCCCCCCCCCUGCACUUUUUUUCUCCCCAAAAGUAACACACACAUCCACCUACUUAGGUGCAAUAACGGAUACCUCAUCAGUGCAAUAACUGAUACCUCAUCCUCCUGUAUAUAGUCUUCUACAUGGUAUUUAAAAAAAUCAUCUGUACAUGAUGUUAUCUGCCAUUUUUGCACUGUCAUUCUUUUUUCUUAUUUCUGUACUACCUUAAUAUUUUUAGAAUUUUUCUCUGGAGCUGCUGUAACGGUGAACUUUCCCCACUGUGGGAUCAAUAAAGUUUAUCCUUAUCCUUAUAAACUUUCCCUUUUGUAAUGGUUAUGAUGCGUACGCAGAUACAGCAGCUAUAAACUUCUCCACGACGAACUGUGUUUAACACCUUCUUUAAGCACCUUACCUGUCCCUGAUUGGACAAACGCAUCAACUCGGGGGCUGGUCUGCUACUAAAUUUCA
Molecule: long non-coding RNA, 4128 nt
Organism: Acanthochromis polyacanthus (spiny chromis)
Lineage: Eukaryota; Metazoa; Chordata; Actinopteri; Pomacentridae
Exons: 4
Source: RefSeq, a predicted model, not a curated record